CCAGAGAACUUUCCAGAGAUGGAUUGGUGCCUUCGGGGAACUCUGAGACAGGUGCUGCAUGGCUGUCGUCAGCUCGCGUUGUGAAAUGUUGGGUUAAGUCCCGCAACGAGCGCAACCCUUAUCCUUUGUUGCCAGCGGUUAGGCCGGGAACUCAAAGGAGACUGCCAGUGAUAAACUGGAGGAAGGUGGGGAUGACGUCAAGUCAUCAUGGCCCUUACGAGUAGGGCUACACACGUGCUACAAUGGCGCAUACAAAGAGAAGCGACCUCGCGAGAGCAAGCGGACCUCAUAAAGUGCGUCGUAGUCCGGAUUGGAGUCUGCAACUCGACUCCAUGAAGUCGGAAUCGCUAGUAAUCGUGGAUCAGAAUGCCACGGUGAAUACGUUCCCGGGCCUUGUACACACCGCCCGUCACACCAUGGGAGUGGGUUGCAAAAGAAGUAGGUAGCUUAACCUUCGGGAGGGCGCUUACCACUUUGUGAUUCAUGACUGGGGUGAAGUCGUAACAAGGUAGGCGUAGUGCU
This 522-nucleotide ribosomal RNA is filed under the name uncultured bacterium. Its description in RNAcentral is "bacterial SSU rRNA". It matches the Rfam family "Bacterial small subunit ribosomal RNA", at positions 988 to 1509 of the family's 1533-position model. The record is from RNAcentral.